Molecule: non-coding RNA, 113 nt
Filed under: uncultured Faecousia sp.
Lineage: Bacteria; Bacillati; Bacillota; Clostridia; Eubacteriales; Oscillospiraceae
Description: FTHFS RNA
Rfam family: FTHFS RNA
Source: RNAcentral
UCGGUACUUAAGUACCGAUUAAACAUGUGCAGUGAGCCACUGCAACGGCAGCUGCAUAAAUCCUGUAUGGUCCGAUCCUCACAAAACGGUAGGUACCCAACAAUUACAAGGAG